RNAcentral lists this ribosomal RNA (253 nucleotides) under uncultured bacterium. Its description in RNAcentral is "partial 16S ribosomal RNA". It matches the Rfam family "Bacterial small subunit ribosomal RNA", at positions 524 to 776 of the family's 1533-position model. The record is from RNAcentral.
UACAGAGGUCCCAAGCGUUGUUCGGAUUCACUGGGCGUAAAGGGUGCGUAGGCGGGUCUUUAAGUCAGGGGUGAAAUCCUGGAGCUCAACUCCAGAACUGCCUUUGAUACUGAGGAUCUUGAGUUCGGGAGAGGUGAGUGGAACUGCGAGUGUAGAGGUGAAAUUCGUAGAUAUUCGCAAGAACACCAGUGGCGAAGGCGGCUCACUGGCCCGAUACUGACGCUGAGGCACGAAAGCGUGGGGAGCAAACAGG